AUUGGAUAUCGUGAUGGCCUGAUAGCGGGGAAAGAAGCUUCUGCACAAGAAGGUUUUAAUAUUGGCUUUAAGCAAUCAGUUUUUGCCGGGUGCAACUGGGGCCUUGCUAGAGGUGUUACCAGGUGAGAUUGAAAAGUGGAGGAAAUUUCUUAUUAGUUGUUGAUGUCUAGAUUGCUUAUGUUUUUGAUGCACGGCAUUGCUCUAAAUCUUGGUUUCAAAUUUUGUGUGAAAGUGCGCUCGCUUGUCUUCCGGAUACGUUGAGGGAGAAGUUGAUUGAAACACAAGAAACGAGAGAUAAAUUCCAGGGGUUAUGUGAUUCCGUGAAUUCUCUGUCGACUAUAGAUGCACUUAAGUUGUUUCAUGAUGAUAUUAUGUCAAAG
RNAcentral lists this long non-coding RNA (380 nucleotides) under Theobroma cacao (cacao). Its description in RNAcentral is "long non-coding RNA (TCAC_LNC005719)". The record is from RNAcentral. Lineage: Eukaryota; Viridiplantae; Streptophyta; Magnoliopsida; Malvales; Malvaceae.